This 1359-nucleotide long non-coding RNA is filed under the name Papio anubis (olive baboon). Its description in RNAcentral is "lncRNA (ENSPANG00000038787.1)". Lineage: Eukaryota; Metazoa; Chordata; Mammalia; Primates; Cercopithecidae. The record is from RNAcentral.
AUGCCUGUAAUCCCAGCACUUUGGGAGGCCGUGGAGGGCGGAUCACGAGGUCAGGAGAUCGAGACCAUCUUGGCUAACACGAUGUUCUCCUGGACAACUGAGAUCAUGAAUUCCGUUGCAACUGUCUUAUCACCAACAUCACCAAGCAUGCUACUUUAGGGGUAUUCCAAAGAGCUGCAAAAUCACUCAAGAGACACAGGUGGGUCUAGAAAUAAAGAUACUGUCAAUGACAUCACUAGUUAUGAAGAACACAGUGCCUAUGAAUUUUCACUUCUGUUUUAAACACAUCCAGUGGUCUCUAAGUUGAGGACUUUAGGUCUUGCUGUGAAUCAGCUUUAAUGGAUGGUAGUGCCAGGUAAAGUUGGGGUUCAGCAAAAUAGUUAAUAAAUGUGUUUUCAGUAGAUUGAACUUGGAUAGGUACCAGGUGCUUUUAGUCAAGAAUCCUCUCCAGGAGGAUUAUGUCCUUGCUGCCUGGAAAGCAAUUGCUCCAUCUCCUCCUAUUCCAUCAACCUGUAAAAGGCUACCCUGUGGAAAGCAUUCAUGUACAAAGAGUUUCAUGAUCCCUAAAAAUGCCUUCCCUGUUUCCUUUCCUUUCUUUUUGGGCAUCCCCAAAUGCCAUUCCUUGUUUAAGUAUGAUUAAAUUCUAGGAUAACUCGUGACAAAUUGUAAACUUGGAAUUAAUGUAGGUUGGGAACUUCAUAAGGUUCCUUUUACAUGUCCCAUUGGAGAUUAAUAAGGAUGUGAAGCACCGAAGGGAAAGUCAAAAUAGGAUGCGAUAUAGGUCAGGUUAGACCUUGGUCCAUAAUCUGCCUCCAGCAGCUCUGUUUGGCUGCCCGAAGGGAGUUACUCCAUGUUGUGAACAUGAGAAUCACUGCCAGGAACCAGGGACAGGUAUGGAGAUCUUUCAAAGUGAGUUAAUUUCAUCUUUCUGGAUUCAGAGAAAGAAGCUGGCCUGAGAGUGUGUGGGAAGAGAAGAUGUGUUCUGGGAAUCACUGCUAGCUUUUAUGAUACUGGGUAUUAAGGAAUACGCUUUUGAAAUUUAGAAAGGAAUAGUGACUAUGAUCUUAUUUUAACCUGCUGUUCUGUCAAAUAAUUUAAGUGAUAGUUAUAUUUUAGAGCAGUUUGAUUUUACCACCUGAGGAAUAAAUCAAGAAAAAGGGAAAAUUUUAAAUGGGCUAAGAAAGGGGAUAGCAGGCUUAACUAAAUCAUUAGUACUCUAGUGACUGCUUGUAUUGAUUCUGGAAAGUAAAGAUGCAACUAAAUUCAUGUUAACUUCAAAUUAUUGCCCAGAAAUUUAUACCUGUUUUUAUAUCUUUAUUGACAAAAUAAUGCAAAUAUGCCACUUAAAUUCUAAUGGGG